Molecule: unclassified non-coding RNA, 378 nt
Filed under: uncultured Rickettsiales bacterium
Lineage: Bacteria; Pseudomonadati; Pseudomonadota; Alphaproteobacteria; Rickettsiales
Description: contains 16S-23S intergenic spacer region
Source: RNAcentral
UCCCGCUUGUCACGGGCAGUUUCCUUAGAGUUCCCGGCAUAACCCGUUGGCAACUAAGGAUGAGGGUUGCGCUCGUUGCGGGACUUAACCCAACAUCUCACGACACGAGCUGACGACAGCCAUGCAACACUUGUCUCCUAUCCGGCCGAACCGAAGCCCUUCCAUUACAAAGGGCGCGAUAGGGAUGUCAAAAGGUGGUAAGGUUUUUCGCGUAGCAUCGAAUUAAACCACAUGCUCCACCGCUUGUGCGGGUCCCCGUCAAUUUCUUUGAGUUUUAAUCUUGCGACCGUACUCCCCAGGCGGAGUGCUUAACGUGUUAACUGUGCCACCGGAUCUAAAAUCCGACAGCUAGCACUCAUCGUUUACGGCGUGGACUAC